RNAcentral lists this long non-coding RNA (1252 nucleotides) under Coturnix japonica (Japanese quail). RNAcentral describes it as "lncRNA (ENSCJPG00005000466.1)". Lineage: Eukaryota; Metazoa; Chordata; Aves; Galliformes; Phasianidae. The record is from RNAcentral.
CUGGGAGAAGUGACUAAAAAUUUAGUGUUUAAUGAUCAACAAAAAAUACUUGUCCUCGGAAAUUACCACAGUAUUUAUUGUCAGGAAAGUUACAAUAGAGUUACAGCUCUUCUCUUGAUAAAUUAAUAAAGCUGUUAGGUCAACAUUGAUCUCGAAAGAAAAUACUUCCUCCAAGACUGAAAACAUUUUUCAAGCUUCAGUUCUAAGGCAUUUUUGCAUUAAAAUAUGUAGAGAAUGCAAAGUGAAUUUGCUUGGCUGUUAGACUUCUGUUUCAUAAAUAAUAAAUAUCAUAAUAAAAUAUGGGAUCAGAAAGACCUGAUCCCAUAAAAAGUUAAGCACAGGCUUAGGCAAGUAUGAGGUCACACUGGCUCCUCAAUGUGAGUGCUUGUAAAUGAAAAUACAUUAACUGAUGUACAUAAAGAUAUCAAUAGCAAAGAUAUUAACCACUGCUAACUUGCAGACACCUAGCCCACAAGAAAUAGAUGUAAAAUAUAUUAUAUGUGAACACAAAUUCAUAGGCACAGACUGCAACUAUUGUUUAGGUUAGACAGAAAAUAGAGCAUCAUCUGGCUUUCUUACCCUGUAGUUGUCGGAGAGGAUCUGCCUUUAAUACCUCAACUGCUCCAAGGCUUCCCACCUACUGUUUCUGUCUUUUAUCACAUAAACCUCAUCAUUCCUUUUUUUUUACUCUGCCUUCUGACUUUGUUAGCUUCUCUUUCCAAAGCUCAAUGUCACUGUGUUUCAUAGUACUGGUACAUGCAACUCUAAGGCCCUGCUAACUCUUUUUUCAUUUCCCUUUUCAAAAUCAAACACCAUAGUGCUUAAAAUAGCAGAUGGGUAAUUACAGCUCAGAAAUGAGUUAGAAAGGCUAGAAGGUGUUCUGAAGGUUCAGUCUGUCCAUUGGGCCACUGUAGUGAUGCCUACGCUCACUAUGUGUGAUGUCAUAGAUAUGUAGAUGUAUUCCAUGUUCUGUCACAUUUCCCAUGAGCUGGCAGCACAGACACAGCCAGUGGUGUGGAAAUUCACCUGUGACUGUGGCUAACUGGCACACAUUCAACCUCAAAGAGUGGAUGUUUAGAAACAAUAUGGAAGGCAUUCAUCUAAAGGGAAGAAAGGAGAAGGGAAGGGGAGUUGAAAUUACAGGGAAGUAUGUCAGAUGCUCAGUAGUAAAUGUAAUGGAGAUAGGGCAAACCAGUUUGAUCCAUGCAGACAUUAGUUACUGUGGGAAUACUGCGGAAAACUGUGAAGAAAC